CAGCGCCGCGGUAAUACAGAGGGUGCAAGCGUUAAUCGGAAUUACUGGGCGUAAAGCGCGCGUAGGUGGUUUGUUAAGUUGGAUGUGAAAUCCCCGGGCUCAACCUGGGAACUGCAUCCAAAACUGGAAAGCUAGAGUAUGGUAGAGGGUGGUGGAAUUUCCUGUGUAGCGGUGAAAUGCGUAGAUAUAGGAAGGAACACCAGUGGCGAAGGCGACCACCUGGACUGAUACUGACACUGAGGUGCGAAAGCGUGGGGAGCAAACAGGAUUAGAUACCCCGGUAGUCCCUGUCUCUUAUACA
This 301-nucleotide ribosomal RNA is filed under the name uncultured bacterium. RNAcentral's name for it is "partial 16S ribosomal RNA". It matches the Rfam family "Bacterial small subunit ribosomal RNA", at positions 509 to 808 of the family's 1533-position model. The record is from RNAcentral.